This 440-nucleotide ribosomal RNA is filed under the name uncultured bacterium. RNAcentral describes it as "partial 16S ribosomal RNA". It matches the Rfam family "Bacterial small subunit ribosomal RNA", at positions 338 to 795 of the family's 1533-position model. The record is from RNAcentral.
CCUACGGGUGGCAGCAGUCGGGAAUAUUGCACAAUGGGGGAAACCCUGAUGCAGCAACGCCGCGUGGGGGAAGGAGGUUUUCGGAUUGUAAACCCCUUUUGUUAGGGAAGAAAAUGACGGUGUCUAAACAACAAGCACCAGCUAACUCCGUGCCAGCAGCCGCGGUAAUACGGAGGGUGCAAGCGUUACUCGGAAUCACUGGGCGUAAAGAGCGCGUAGGCGGGAUAGCAAGUCAGAUGUGAAAGCCUAGGGCUCAACCAGAGCACGGCAUAUGACACUGUUCGACUAGAGUAAUGGAGAGGGAGGCGGAAUUCUUGGUGUAGCAGUGAAAUCCGUAGAGAUCAAGAGGAACACUCGUGGCGAAGGCGACCUGCUGGAACAUAACUGACGCUGAGGCGCGAAGGCGUGGGGAGCAAACAGGAGUAGAUACCCUUGUAGUC